CCUACGGGAGGCAGCAGUGAGGAAUAUUGGUCAAUGGUCGCGAGACUGAACCAGCCAAGCAGCGUGAAGGAGGAAUGCACAGCGUAUCGUAAACCUCUUUUAUCAAGGAAUAAAGUGUGGGACGUGUGCCUGGUUGUGUGUACUUGAUGAAUAAGCAUCGGCUAACUCCGUGCCAGCAGCCGCGGUAAUACGGAGGAUCCGAGCGUUAUCCGGAUUUAUUGGGUUUAAAGGGAGCGGAGACGGGUUGUUAAGUCAGUUGCGAAAGUUCGGGGCUCAACCGCAGACUUGCGAUUGAUACUGGCAGUCUUGAGUACAGGUGAGGUAGGCGGAAUGCGCGGUGUAGCGGUGAAAUGCUUAGAUAUCGCGCAGAACUCCGAUUGCGAAGGCAGCUUACCAACUCGACACUGACACUGAGGCUCGAAAGUGUGGGUAUCAAACAGGAUUAGAUACCCCAGUAGUC
This 460-nucleotide ribosomal RNA is filed under the name uncultured bacterium. RNAcentral describes it as "partial 16S ribosomal RNA". It matches the Rfam family "Bacterial small subunit ribosomal RNA", at positions 338 to 795 of the family's 1533-position model. The record is from RNAcentral.